GAAACCCUGUCUUGAAAAACAAACAAAACCUGCUUAGCCAAUAAGUAAAUAAAUAAAUAAAUAAAUAAAUACUGCCUGGCUUUGCACUCCACCCCAAGCUACAUCAUCCCCUUUCAAAGUCGGCGUUUCUGAACGGAAGAUAAUGAGAGUUCCAAUUUACUCUCGGCUCACACCACCCAUACACAGCUGCCCCAUAAUCACGGCCCCCCUCGCCCCGACGCAGUACACGGUGGGGUGCACUUGUUGGACCCCCACUGGCAUGCCGUCACCCGGGGUCAAGUUCCCGCUGAGGUUCACACCUGGGGUUGUGCGACAGUAUCUUUUUUGUGUUUCGCUUUGUUUUUAAUGUGGCGUCUGUCUUAAUCACAGUACGAAAAUUGAGAAGGAGAAAAGGGAACACGCGAAACAGCACGGGAUGAUCCGUACUGAGAUCACCGGAGCCGAGAUUGCAGAAGAGAUGGAGAAGGAGCGGCGCCUCUUUCAGCUCCAGAUGUGUGAAUAUCUCAUCAAAGUUAAUGAAAUCAAGACCAAAAAGGGCGUGGACC
Cricetulus griseus (Chinese hamster) is the source of this 545-nucleotide non-coding RNA. The record is from RefSeq and is a predicted model, not a curated record. NCBI's taxonomy places the organism in Eukaryota, Metazoa, Chordata, Mammalia, Rodentia, Cricetidae.